UGCGGCGAAAGCAAUUGCUGGAGCCAUAAAGGCACCGUAGCGUCGUGUUUUCGAUGCUACCUAUUACUCUACACGUGUAGGCCGAGAUAGUAUGGAGCACGUAGUUUCCUUCCUCCGUGGUAUGGAGGAAGAAAAUGGGCCUCCCGACGCAAACGGAAUAGUCCAUCAACAUCGGCACCAAUCGGACCAUAUCAUCACAGAGCACCGUAUCCGCGCGUGCUUUUAGGUACCCGCUUUGCUGUGUUUCUGGUUGUUUCUGCUGUUUCGAGGACCGAUGCUCACUACCAAGUGUGCAAAAUGACAAACAUGGUGAGGAAGGAAGAAGUUGUGGGAUCCAGUCAUUCCUGAAAUUGUGCGCUGAUAAGAUCCUGUGAACGAGACGCUUCCUGAUCCAUUGGAAUACUUGACGUGCUACCACUCCUACACCCUGAACCCUCCGCAGAUCCUGUAAACGAGAUACUUCCUGAUCCAUUGGAAGCACACGUCCAUAUUUCAGAGCAGUCAUUGGCCAAAGCUGCUCUGAAAGUGAUCGGUCCUGGAAGAGGUGCAGGACUCUAGAUGAACUGAGAUACGUUCCUUGGACUUCUCAUCGGACCAUCCUCGGAAGAUGCUGAAAAGCCGAACUGCAAUAUGUGUUACGAGGACCACAAUGUUGAAAAAAAAAAAAGAGAUUCCUUUUGUGGGAAAAAUGUGGAGUGCACCUAUGCGUCACAAAGUCCAGGAACUGCUUCACCACAUGGCAUGAGCGAUGAACUGGUCUUGGUUUCUUUAUUGUAUCUGAAGAACGGAGGUGUACUGAGCAUUCAUUUUUUCAGACACCAUUCCUGGGUUAUUUAUCUUUGAAAUGUAUGUUCCGAGUUUUAUUUUAUAUUAAUAUUUUUGUAGAUAUCAUGUAUUUAUUAUUGUUUUUAUCAACUGGCAGCAAAAAUGGGGGCUUCCUAGAAUUUUUACAUUUUACCUAAUAAAUUUUUUUGGCAACGUAUAUAUUUGGAAAGAGCAUUUUAUUAUGCACAAUAUGCUAUGCUGCAGUGUCUGCUGGAAUAUUAUUUGUAGUGGUAAAUAAUUUUUUUCCGAGACCUGUAAAGAAUGACCAUUUUCUCGCGGUCACGAAAGAGCUAAUAAUGAUUCGCGAUCCACGAAAUGCACAACUGACGCACACUCAACAUGGGCGCAUGCACACAAAUCAAUUGGCGAAGGCCCCAGCGCAUUUCCAAAACGUUUCUAGCAGCGUGCGGCAGAGAGCGGCACAGGAAAAUGAAAAAGGCGGAUUGUCACGGGACCCAGUAUGUAUUCCUGAAUUAUACACGUACGCAACCGCAAUCCCCUGUCCCAGUAUGAGCACUGAUAUACCUAAUAAGUGUACUGUAGGCUUUCAAAGCUUUUUCGGAUGUGCCUGUGACGAUUUGAGCCUUCAAGGGUUGUAAAAGACAUGCAUUCAUUUUUUUUAACUGCCCAAUUUUUCAGACGUUUUUUCGACCCCUAGGGAGUCCAAAAAAUCGGACGUGUACUGUACAGGUGACCAAGAAGACGCUUCAAAUGGUUAUAGGUGCAAAUGCGAAGCGGAAGGAGGACGAAAACAGAAAAUACUGACACAUUGAGGAAUGAACGGGAAAGGAAGUGGGCUGCCACUUCUUUGAAGUAGCUUGAGCUCAAAAAACAGUGUUUGCUGACACCAAGAUGCAGGUGUCUCUCAUCCAAACCAAAUAAAACUCUUUAAAGCAGUGGAACGCAACACUGAGGCGUUGUGUGCUGGCUGAGAGUAGGUCCGGACAGCUGAGCUUGACUUUCCUGCUGCGGAGAGAGAAUCUUAGUUGUGACAAAGUUUGGGCCUCAAACCAAUGAGUUUGCUAUCAGUUGAUUGAAAGAGCUCAUGUUUGAAAAUAUUUGCCUCUGUAUGCUCUGUAUGCCCCUCUUUUUAUUUGUAUUUGAAGAUGUUCGACACGAUUUACAGUGGGCUUUGCCAUUUUUUUUGAGGAUAUUUGAUUCACUGUGUAUUUUACUAACCCCUUUGUUGUGCUUGUGUUCUGAAUAAGAUAAACACUACUCCUUACUAUUCAAACUAAAUUAAGUCGUGUUUUUUUUUUACUUUUUAACAUGCUUACUAGAGAGUGACAGCAUAGGGGCGACAUUGUGUCAGCAUGUCUUGACAUAAAACAAAGUUCCGUGUCACUCAGGGAAUUUUGCAAAGGCACUCAGGGAAAACCUGUAAAACACAGAUAAUUUGGAAAUGUCAACUGAGUAGACACCCUGGUCAUUGGAAAGGGGAGCACUUACAUGUAUAGGUUUGUAAUGCCAGCAACUAUAUUUUUGACUCAGGCUUAUGCUUAUGCAGCAGACCACUUGUCUUUUUUUUUUGAUAUUGCACUGGGAACAUCUAACAGUCUCUGCUACCACCAUUUUGAUAGUGGUACCUCCAUUUAUACUGCUAUUGUCACUUCUGUUUUGAAGGCUGCAGAGCUGAAUGAAAUUAUAGACAAAGCCACAAUGGGUGACACUUGCGACGAUGUAGACAUCCCUAAAGGCGAAGAAAACUCUGUGAAGGAAAAAUCACCAUUAACCUUAGCAUAGUGCAAAUCUCCAAAUGAAAAUGAUUCAGAUUUCUAGGAAAUAAAGCUGUCAAUGAAAAUUUUGUUCUGGUUUAAGGAUCAAACUCAGGACCAAUGCCUUUGUUGGCCCAAUUGUGACAUUAAAAAAAUUUCUAUACAGAUGACAGUAACAUAUUUUUUGUUGCAAUGUAUUAUGCGCGUAAUUCUUAUGUGACAUAUAUCAAGUAUGUCAGCAAGGUAUUGUAAUUAGGGAGGGAAACCGGUGGAAUGUAUUUACUUUAGUUUGAUGUAUUUAAUGUGUCGUUAAUGCAGUAUGCUGUUUCUACUGACUGUACAACUUCUUGAUUGUUGCCUAUAUGAAAGUGAGAUCAACCCCUACACGUGCAAAAUCAUCCUGUCUCACUGACCUAACUUUGCCGCAAUAAGUUAGAGCAUGUGAUUUGUUGGCACCUUAAACAAUACCUAGAUGAAGACGACAUGCUGUCUGAAGUCCAGCGUUGUUUUAUGGAAAGCUUUUACUGUAACUUAGUUAUUGCCUCAUAUCAUGACUUAGGAGUUAGUAACAGGGAACAAAUGACGGCAGCUUAUUAGAUUUUGCCAAUGCCUUUAAGUUCCUGAACAAGAAGCUCCAUGUAAGCUUUAUGCAGUCGCAAUAGACAGGAAAUCUGUGCAUUCUAUCAGAGCCUAUCUCAAAAACCGUGUUCACUAUGUCAAAGUUGGCAAUCGUAUUUGAGGUGUUUUCUUUCACAUCAGGUGUACCACAGAGGUCAUUCUUGGGACCUCUCCUGUUCCUUAUAGUCAAUGACACAGCAAAUAUGGUUGAGUCUGAUUUGAAAUAAAACUUUUUGUGGAUGUAUUGUACACAGUAGUUGAGUCACAAGCCGAUGAAACUAAGCUCGGCAAUAACCUUGAUAAAAUUUGUCACUGGUGUGAAGUGUGGGAAAUCAGCUUGAACAAUAAGAUGUUCUGUGUUAGGAAGAUAUGCAGCAAGGAAACACCUUCACACUUUCCUUAAUUCAUUGGCAACACUACCUAACGAUGUUUCUACCUAUUAGUACCUCCGGGUAAUUAUAACAGAAAACAUAGGGUGAAACGAGCAUAUUAAAAACAUUUCCAUGAGCGCUCUCAGAAGUUUAUGGUCAUUUGUCACAAUUUCACAGAAGGCCCUAUAUAGGUAAAUGUAUAGGGGCAUUCACUACGCUGUUAGACCUAGCCUUGAAUAUGCAUAAGCUUUGUGGAAUCCACACGCCAAUAGAUAUUGUUAACUUAAAAUGAGUGCAGCAAAUGUAGUUCGGUUCAUCUGCGAAUUCUACAAGAAAACUGAUAGUGUAUCGCAGAUGCUGAUUACUCUCUACCUUGAAUAAUUAGUCGAGACGCGCCAAACAGGCUACAACUCUUGUGUUUAGUAUACAGCAAAGUCCAACAUUAUGAAAUCGUUUUACCUGUGUCCCACUUCUCGCGUGAACAUUCGUCAAUACCACACUAGAAUGACAAAGGACCUACGUGCUGUGAAUAAUGUUCUAGAUAGUAAUAUUUUUCUAAGACAAAGAAUGGAAUGAAUUGCCUAAGAGUGUUGUUGAAAGUAGCUAUGUAGUCAUAUUUGUGAUUUGUAUUGUUUCGCUAUAAUAUUGUUUUCCAAACUUUGCUUUUCGUCCCUUGAUGUUUGUGUUAUUUGUAUAUUCAUUACUCCUUGGACUCAAGUGAGUCGGCAGAAUUUAGAAAUAAAUUUUGGAAGUGUAGCUGUCUACCACAACAGACACUAUAAUGAAACCUGGUUCGAGAUGAAGUGCUGCUGCUCCUGAUUUGGUCAUCAGGCCCAUGAUUGUACUAUUGAAUGUUCGGGUUGUCGCCCUUGACUGCAACAGCAGCUUGCAUUAAUACCAUGCUCCUAGUCUUCUCACUGUACCUUACAGUUAAAAAAUGUUUUAAGCAAGAACAUGUGCAAACUUCAUAAACUUGGCCACUGAGCAAUGAUAAAAACAUAUUUUCCAAAUCAGAAUGGUUGACCUUCUGUGCUCUGAUUUGAUCUGAAAUCGCCGUCAAGACAUUGAAUGAAGAAAAGGCUGUUCUUUACCACUACAAUCUAUGUAAUUCUUCGGCAUAUUGUAAAUACAUAUUUAUUUUUCAGUGAAAAGCA
Molecule: RNA transcript, 4683 nt
Organism: Dermacentor andersoni
Lineage: Eukaryota; Metazoa; Arthropoda; Arachnida; Ixodida; Ixodidae
Source: RefSeq, a predicted model, not a curated record